GGGGAUAUGGUUUAGUGGUAUAAUGCUUCCUUAGCAUGGAAGAGGUCCCGAGUUCGAUUCUUGGUGUCUCCA
Molecule: transfer RNA, 72 nt
Filed under: Pyricularia oryzae 70-15
Lineage: Eukaryota; Fungi; Ascomycota; Sordariomycetes; Magnaporthales; Pyriculariaceae
Also listed under: 4 other names
Description: tRNA-Ala (AGC) (tRNA-Ala-AGC-2 1 to 6)
Rfam family: tRNA
About the family: Transfer RNA (tRNA) molecules are approximately 80 nucleotides in length. Their secondary structure includes four short double-helical elements and three loops (D, anti-codon, and T loops). Further hydrogen bonds mediate the characteristic L-shaped molecular structure. tRNAs have two regions of fundamental functional importance: the anti-codon, which is responsible for specific mRNA codon recognition, and the 3' end, to which the tRNAs corresponding amino acid is attached (by aminoacyl-tRNA synthetases). tRNAs cope with the degeneracy of the genetic code in two manners: having more than one tRNA (with a specific anti-codon) for a particular amino acid; and 'wobble' base-pairing, i.e. permitting non-standard base-pairing at the 3rd anti-codon position.
Source: RNAcentral